CCUACGGGUGGCAGCAGUGGGGAAUAUUGGGCAAUGGGCGCAAGCCUGACCCAGCCAAGCCGCGUGAAGGAAGAAGGCUUUCGGGUUGUCAACUUCUUUUCUCGGGGACGAAGCAGGUGACGGUACCUGAGGAAUAAGUCACGGCUAACGGCGUGCCAGCAGCCUCGGUAAUACGUGGGUGGCAAGCGUUAUACGGAUUUACUGGGUGUAAUGAUCGUUUAGGCGGGAAUGCAAGUCAGAUGUGAACACCACGGGCGCAACAUGUGGACUGCAUUUGCAACUGUAAUUCUUGAGUCUUGGAGAGGAAGACGGAAGUCCUGGUGUAGCGGUGAAAUGCGUAGAUAUUAGGAGGAACACCAGUGGCGAAGGCGGUCUGCUGGACAGAAACUGACGCUGAGGCGCGAAAGCGUGGGGAGCAAACAGGAUUAGAUACCCUGGUAGUC
This 443-nucleotide ribosomal RNA is filed under the name uncultured bacterium. Its description in RNAcentral is "partial 16S ribosomal RNA". It matches the Rfam family "Bacterial small subunit ribosomal RNA", at positions 338 to 795 of the family's 1533-position model. The record is from RNAcentral.